UAGGGAAUCUUCCGCAAUGGACGAAAGUCUGACGGAGCAACGCCGCGUGAGUGAUGAAGGUCUUCGGAUCGUAAAGCUCUGUUGCCAGGGAAGAAUAGGUAUAGGAGUAACUGCCUGUACUGUGACGGUACCUGAGAAGAAAGCCCCGGCUAACUACGUGCCAGCAGCCGCGGUAAUACGUAGGGGGCAAGCGUUGUCCGGAAUUAUUGGGCGUAAAGGGCACGCAGGCGGUGGUUUAAGUUUGGUGUUUAAUCCCGGGGCUCAACCCCGGUACGCACUGAAAACUGGAUCACUUGAGUACAGAAGAGGAGAGUGGAAUUCCACGUGUAGCGGUGAAAUGCGUAGAUAUGUGGAGGAACACCAGUGGCGAAGGCGACUCUCUGGUCUGUCACUGACGCUGAGGUGCGAAAGCGUGGGUAGCAAACAGG
Molecule: ribosomal RNA, 428 nt
Filed under: Bacillota bacterium
Lineage: Bacteria; Bacillati; Bacillota
Description: Firmicutes bacterium partial 16S ribosomal RNA
Rfam family: Bacterial small subunit ribosomal RNA
Source: RNAcentral